AUUGAACGCUGGCGGCAGGCUUAACACAUGCAAGUCGAGCGGAGACUUCGGUCUUAGCGGCGAACGGGUGAGUAAUACCUAGGAAUCUGCCUAUUAGUGGGGGAUAACGGCUCGAAAGGGUCGCUAAUACCGCAUACGUCCUACGGGAGAAAGUGGGGGAUCUUCGGACCUCACGCUAAUAGAUGAGCCUAGGCCGGAUUAGCUAGUUGGUGAGGUAAUGGCUCACCAAGGCUACGAUCAGUAGGGGAUCUGAGAGGACUAACCCCCACACUGGUACGUNAGACACGGACCGAGACUCCUACGGGAGGGCAGCAGU
RNAcentral lists this ribosomal RNA (316 nucleotides) under uncultured bacterium. RNAcentral describes it as "bacterial SSU rRNA". It matches the Rfam family "Bacterial small subunit ribosomal RNA", at positions 30 to 355 of the family's 1533-position model. The record is from RNAcentral.